This 292-nucleotide ribosomal RNA is filed under the name uncultured bacterium. RNAcentral's name for it is "partial 16S ribosomal RNA". It matches the Rfam family "Bacterial small subunit ribosomal RNA", at positions 505 to 796 of the family's 1533-position model. The record is from RNAcentral.
GUGUCAGCAGCCGCGGUAAUACAGAGGUCCCGAGCGUUGUUCGGAUUCACUGGGCGUAAAGGGUGCGUAGGCGGUUCUGAAAGUCUGAUGUGAAAUCUCCAGGCCCAACCUGGAAAUGGCAUUAGAAACUACAGGGCUAGAGGCUUGGAGGGGGAACUGGAAUGCUCGGUGUAGCAGUGAAAUGCGUAGAGAUCGAGCGGAACACCAGUGGCGAAGGCGAGUUCCUGGACAAGUCCUGACGCUGAGGCACGAAAGCCAGGGGAGCAAACAGGAUUAGAAACCCCCGUAGUCC